UAUGGUUAAGUGACUAAGCGUACACGGUGGAUGCCUUGGCAGUCAGAGGCGAUGAAAGGCGUAAUAACUUGCGAUAAGCCCAGAUUAGGUAGUAAUAACCUUUAAGUCUGGGAUUCCUGAAUGGGGAAACCCACUUACAUAAGUAAGUAUCCUGUUGUGAAUACAUAGCAACAGGAGGCAAACCGGGGGAACUGAAACAUCUAAGUACCCCGAGGAAGAGAAAUCAACCGAGAUUCCGAAAGUAGCGGCGAGCGAAAUUGGAUUAGCCCUUAAGCUUUUAAUGAGACAGAUGAAGGCUCUGGAAAGUGCCGCAAUAAAGGGUGAUAGCCCCGUAAUCGACAUCUCAUCAUCAGUGAAAACGAGUAGGGCGGGACACGUGAUAUCCUGUCUGAAUAUGGGGGGACCAUCCU
RNAcentral lists this ribosomal RNA (410 nucleotides) under Vibrio crassostreae. RNAcentral describes it as "partial 23S ribosomal RNA". It matches the Rfam family "Bacterial large subunit ribosomal RNA", at positions 1 to 459 of the family's 2925-position model. Lineage: Bacteria; Pseudomonadati; Pseudomonadota; Gammaproteobacteria; Vibrionales; Vibrionaceae. The record is from RNAcentral.